GAUGAACGCUGGCGGCGUGCCUAAUACAUGCAAGUCGAGCGAACAGACGAGGCGCUUGCUCCUCUGACGUUAGCGGCGGACGGGUGAGUAACACGUGGAUAACCUACCUAUAAUACUGGUAUCACUUCGGGAAACCGGCGCUAAUACCGGAUAAUAUAUUGAACCGCAUUGUUCAAUAGUGAAAGACGGUUUUGCUGUCACUUAUAGCUGGAUCCGCGCCGCAUUAUCUAGUUGGUAAGGUAACGGCUUACCAAGGCAACGAUGCGUAGCCGACCUGAGAGGGGGAACGGGCACAGUGGGACUGAGAGACGGUCCAGAGUCCGACGGGAGGCAGCGGUAGGGAAGGGACGGAGAAGGGCGGAAGCCUGAAGGAGCAACGCAGGGUGAAUGAAGAAGGGCUGCGGAUCGUAAAACGCUGUUAGGAGGGAAGAACAAAUGUGUAAGUAACUAAGCGUGAGUGGACGGAACGUAAAAAGAAAGCCACGGCUAACUACGU
RNAcentral lists this ribosomal RNA (496 nucleotides) under uncultured bacterium. Its description in RNAcentral is "partial 16S ribosomal RNA". It matches the Rfam family "Bacterial small subunit ribosomal RNA", at positions 28 to 506 of the family's 1533-position model. The record is from RNAcentral.